This 384-nucleotide ribosomal RNA is filed under the name uncultured bacterium. Its description in RNAcentral is "bacterial SSU rRNA". It matches the Rfam family "Bacterial small subunit ribosomal RNA", at positions 30 to 416 of the family's 1533-position model. The record is from RNAcentral.
AUUGAACGCUGGCGGCAUGCCUUACACAUGCAAGUCGAACGGUAACGGGCCUUCGGGUGCCGACGAGUGGCGAACGGGUGAGUAAUGCAUCGGAACGUACCUUUCAGUGGGGGAUAACGUAGCGAAAGUUACGCUAAUACCGCAUAUUCUGUGAGCAGGAAAGCAGGGGAUCGCAAGACCUUGCGCUGAUUGAGCGGCCGAUGUCAGAUUAGCUAGUUGGUGAGGUAAAGGCUCACCAUGGCGACGAUCUGUAGCGGGUCUGAGAGGAUGAUCCGCCACACUGGAACUGAGACACGGUCCAGACUCCUACGGGAGGCAGCAGUGGGGAAUUUUGGACAAUGGGGGCAACCCUGAUCCAGCCAUGCCGCGUGAGUGAAGAAGGCC